AUAUAUCUUAUUAUAUAAAGUAUGGUUUUUAAAAUUACUAACUCAUAAGAUUAUGCCAUGUGUCAAGUCUAUCGAUCAGAUGUUGACACGUGUAAGAAAAUAAUUAACUUUUUUCUUCUUAAAGAAAUAGAAAUACUAAAAAAGAAAUCAAUUAACUUUUUUCUUCUUAAAGAAAUAGAAAACUAAAAAAUAAAUCAUUAUUAACAUAUACUAAUUUAUAUGUCUAUAU
Molecule: small RNA, 229 nt
Filed under: Arabidopsis thaliana (thale cress)
Lineage: Eukaryota; Viridiplantae; Streptophyta; Magnoliopsida; Brassicales; Brassicaceae
Description: ATSL216390
Source: RNAcentral